GUAGUCCACGCCGUAAACGGUGGGUACUAGGUGUGGGUUUCCUUCCUUGGGAUCCGUGCCGUAGCUAACGCAUUAAGUACCCCGCCUGGGGAGUACGGCCGCAAGGCUAAAACUCAAAGAAAUUGACGGGGGCCCGCACAAGCGGCGGAGCAUGUGGAUUAAUUCGAUGCAACGCGAAGAACCUUACCUGGGUUUGACAUGCACAGGACGCCGGCAGAGAUGUCGGUUCCCUUGUGGCCUGUGUGCAGGUGGUGCAUGGCUGUCGUCAGCUCGUGUCGUGAGAUGUUGGGUUAAGUCCCGCAACGAGCGCAACCCUUGUCUCAUGUUGCCAGCACGUUAUGGUGGGGACUCGUGAGAGACUGCCAGUGAUAUACUGGA
This 378-nucleotide ribosomal RNA is filed under the name uncultured bacterium. Its description in RNAcentral is "bacterial SSU rRNA". It matches the Rfam family "Bacterial small subunit ribosomal RNA", at positions 790 to 1167 of the family's 1533-position model. The record is from RNAcentral.